Molecule: ribosomal RNA, 503 nt
Filed under: uncultured bacterium
Lineage: Bacteria
Description: partial 16S ribosomal RNA
Rfam family: Bacterial small subunit ribosomal RNA
Source: RNAcentral
AACGAACGCUGGCGGCGUGCCUAACACAUGCAAGUCGAACGAGAAAGGGGCUUCGGCUCCGAGUAAAGUGGCGCACGGGUGAGUAACACGUGGGUAACCUGCCUCUAAGAUUGGGAUAACUCGUCGAAAGAUGAGCUAAUACCGAAUAAGACCACAGUUCCCGCGGGAACAGGGGUCAAAGGUAGCCUCUGCUUGCAAGCUAUCACUUAGAGAUGGGCCUGCGCACCAUUAGCUAGUUGGUAGGGUAACGGCCUACCAAGGCAAAGAUGGUUAGCUGGUCGGAGAGGAUGAUCAGCCAGCCUGGAACGGAGACACGGCCCAGACGCCUACGGGAGGCAGCAGUGGGGAAUAUUGCGCAAUGGGCGAAAGAUUGACGCAGCAACGCCGCGUGAGGGAUGAAGGCCUUCGGGUCGUAAAGCUCUGUCGGGAGGAACGAAUGCUCCUGAGGUUAACAGCCUCGGGAGGUGACGGUACCUGCAAAGGAAGCACCGGCUAACUCUGUG